GUGUAAACGGAAGUUCAAAUUCAGUACUGCGAUUCCUAGGGUUUAGGCCGGAGAGGACGACGGAAGAAGAUGAAGCCGGUAGUAGGAACAGUAGUGUCUAACAAGAUGCAGAAAUCAGUAGUGGUGGCAGUGGAUAGACUCUUCCACAACAAGGUUUACAAUCGAUAUGUCAAACGGACCUCCAAAUUCAUGGCUCAUGAUGACAAAGACGAAUGCAACAUCGGUGACCGCGUUAAGUUGGAUCAUUCAAGACCACUGAGCAAGCGCAAGCACUGGGUUGUAGCUGAAAUUUUGAAAAGAGCAAGAAUUUAUGUGCCUCCGCCACGAGUUACCACUGAGAGGGUCAACAAGACUCAAGUGUCUGCCCCCUAAUGCUAGUUAGAGCUGAAAGAGAAUUACUAUCUCAAUCUUUGUCUUGUGUAUCCAGAACAAAUUGCCUAUUAACUGUUAACUUUUUUGAAACAAGUACUGCUCACUGCUCAGAAACGUAGAGUUUCUACUCAACCUCCUCGAUCAGUGCAAUUAGAUUACCAUUUUAUUCCUGCACUCAA
This 551-nucleotide unclassified non-coding RNA is filed under the name Hevea brasiliensis (rubber tree). Lineage: Eukaryota; Viridiplantae; Streptophyta; Magnoliopsida; Malpighiales; Euphorbiaceae. The record is from RNAcentral.